GACGAACGCUGGCGGCGUGCCUAAUACAUGCAAGUAGAACGCAGUUUCGAACGGGUGAGUAUCGCGUAGGUAACUGCCUCAUAGCGGGGGAUCACUAUUUGAAACGAUAGCUAAUACCGCUUACUGUGACAUGGAUCUGCGUUGUAUUAGCUAGUUGGUGAGGUAAAGGGUCACCAAGGCGAAGAUACAUAGCCGACCUGGGAGGGGGGUCGGCCACACUGGGACAGUGAGACGGCCAAGGCACCGACGGGAGGCAGCAGUAGGGGAACUUCGGCAAUGAACGGAAGUCUGACCGAGCAACGCCGCUGGAGUGAAGAAGGUUUUCGGAGCGUAAAGCUCUGUUGAGAGAGAAGCGGUAACUAGAGAGAAAGGAACGGCUAACUACGGGCCAGCAGCCGCGGUAAUAC
This 407-nucleotide ribosomal RNA is filed under the name uncultured bacterium. RNAcentral describes it as "partial 16S ribosomal RNA". It matches the Rfam family "Bacterial small subunit ribosomal RNA", at positions 28 to 526 of the family's 1533-position model. The record is from RNAcentral.